GUGCUCGCUUCGGCAGCACAUAUACUAAAAUUAGAACGAUACAGAGAAGUUUAGCAUGGCCCCUGUGCAAGUAAGACAUGCAAAUUUGUGAAGUGUUCCAUAUUAAA
Small nuclear RNA from Otolemur garnettii (small-eared galago), 107 nucleotides. The record is from Ensembl. Lineage: Eukaryota; Metazoa; Chordata; Mammalia; Primates; Galagidae.